Molecule: long non-coding RNA, 1076 nt
Filed under: Helianthus annuus (common sunflower)
Lineage: Eukaryota; Viridiplantae; Streptophyta; Magnoliopsida; Asterales; Asteraceae
Source: RNAcentral
AGGAGAGAGUGGGAGACAAAAACGUCAAUGGAAACCCUAUCUCCCACCGCCCUCUUCUCCGUCUUCCCGUCGCUCCUACAUCCGCUCCGGCGCCUCCUUCACUCUCCUCAACAACGCAUCAACCUGGCCAUAGAUCAGUUGUCGAAUAUCUCACCAACAAAAGUGCCGAUUGACGAUCAAAUCGGUGCUAGAUUCAGCUUCAAUCGAUCAGUAUUUCGGACUCACGGAAUCAGACGCACGUAAUCCGACUUUAUCAACUUUGUUUAGGGUUCCGAUGCGUCGAAAACCUAAUCAGACGGUGUUAGAAGACGUCAGGGUUCCGAUUUGAAGCUCUUAUGGCACCCUUGACAUCUGGUCGUGUGACAAUUGUAGCGAGUUCAAUGAACACGACAAAGGUACUCUCUAUAAGACGAGUCUUCUAUAUGAAACCAAACGAGCCCGAGGUUCUUUUGCUUGAUUAUCCAAGCCAUAAAAGGCGGCUUUUACCUCUUGUAGCAAAGACGUGCCGGUGGUUUGACGGUGGUGUUCUCCUUUCUCUUAUUUGUCUUCUAAAUUCCACAUUGUCAAUUCUUUACUCAAGUUUCUAAGUUCGAUUGCUUGCAUAAGUGACCGCAAAUCUGUAGCAGUUUCGGUCAAUAAGAUCAUAAUGAUUUGAUAAUUUACAGCUUUUGAAUGCUUAAUUGAUGUAUAAGAAUUAAUAAUGGAGCGGGUUGUCUUUAGUUUGGUGGGCUUUGGUUGCCAACUGGAGGAAAGAAAACUUAGAGGAUGCAAGGAACAAUAAUGGAACCUCGACAACUUUGUUGACUAUGCACUCCAAUGAGGUUGCAAAAACGAGCCGGCUAGAACAAAAGAUCCAAAAAUGGAACACUCCUUAUGCUAUAAAUGUAGUUUUUGUUUUCGUAUGUAAAUGUAGAUUUGGCUUUUUUGUCUUGCAACUUUUUAUUUUGCAAUAAGAGAAUACAAUGAGACAUCAAUUGGUGUUUACUAAUUAGGAAUACAAGCAUGAGACAUCAAUAAAUUGAUAUUAAUUUAGGAAUAUGACGGUUUACCAAGUUCAGACCCGCCGAUGAGCGCCG